GCGUUUAAGACCAUUUGGUGUAAAAAUCAUUGCCACAAAACGGAGUUGGAAAUCACAUUUACAUGUUUCUGAUCAACCAAAUGGGCUCCCCAUUCAGGAUGGUGUCAUUGAUGAUUUGGUUGAUGAAAAGGGUAGUCAUGGAGAUAUUUAUGAGUUUGCUAGCAAUGCUGAUAUAGUUGUAUGUUGCUUGAGUAUGAAUAAAGAGACAGAAGGUAUUGUAAACAAAUCAUUCAUAUCGUCAAUGAGAAAGGGUGCCCUUUUGAUAAAUAUUGCUCGAGGGGGUCUCCUAGACUAUGAGGCUGUUUUGCAGUACCUUAAGUCUGGUCACUUGGGAGGCUUAGGCAUUGAUGUUGCUUGGACUGAGCCAUUUGAUCCAGAUGAUCCAAUUCUAAAGUUCGACAAUGUUCUAAUCACUCCUCAUGUUGCAGGUGUAACAGAACAUUCUUAUAGAUCCAUGGCUAAGGUUGUUGGAGAUGUCGCCCUCCAACUUCAUGCAGGUACCCCUUGGACAGGCAUAGAGACUGUGAACUGAUUCACUAGAUAGCCUUUACGAUUUGGAUCUUCAUUAAAUGAUCAGUGGAUUCAAUCUUCAAUGUUAAGGCCCUUCUGAGAUGUGCGCUUUGUAAUGCUUCAUAGGUAGGUCAACUAUGGCCAGUGAUUUUCAUGCAUUAAACCGUACUUAAUGACAUGGUUGGAUUUGGUGUUUAUGUUGUCUGUGAUGUUUAGAGAUGAGCAAUUUCAUUGUAAAAUUCUCUUCCCCCCC
Molecule: unclassified non-coding RNA, 763 nt
Filed under: Hevea brasiliensis (rubber tree)
Lineage: Eukaryota; Viridiplantae; Streptophyta; Magnoliopsida; Malpighiales; Euphorbiaceae
Source: RNAcentral